CUUCAGCUCUGUGAUUUCAAAGUUCGAUUUGGAACUCUUCAUCUCUUCAAUCAGAGAUCGAUCGCAGAAAAACACUACACUUUCGUUGCAGAGUUGAGUCGGAAAAAUGAAAUACCUGCUUCAAGGUCAGGUGCUCAUUCACUUCCUAAAUCCAAUAAGAAUAAUGUGCUCAGUACAAGCCACUCAAAGCAUAAUUAGAUUGGUCAAACAGGUAUACGUCAAUUUUUGCUGGUCAUACUAGACCGUUUGUUGAAUCAAAUUUGUUGCCCACAUCAGAAAAAAAUGGAUUUGUUCAAAGAAUAAUUAGAUUGGCUAACCAGGUUAUUAUUGUAACAGUAUUAAUUUUUAAAGGCAUUGAAUCUGUAAUAAUUUGUUUAAUGUUUAUCUGCAAUAAAUGAAAUUGAUGUGUCUCUCUGUGAUCUGUAACUUAUUUUUUCUGUAGAUAUAUAUUGUUCAAAAGAGUGCAAGAAUACAAGACCCCUUUAAAAAUACUAAAAGUUCUUCAAAUAAAGCAAAGGCUGGUUGUGAUUCCUCAUCUUUGUCUGCAAAAUCACCACUUCAGCAUCCUCGAAGGAAUAUGCCAUCAAUGAAGGUGUUUAAUGACAUGCUUCAUGAGUUGGACAUUGAGAGAAAUAACCCAGAUGGCGCAGACCAGGGUUUUAUUGGAAGUUACUUUCCAGACUUGCUUGACCAGCCAAUGUUCCACCCACCACUUAACGGGUACCAAGCUUGUUGGAACAUACAGACUUCCUUUGGGAUAUCAAAUGGAUGCCUCCUACUAUUAUUUGGGUUCUUACAGGGGACAAGAUGGAAAUAGCCAUUAAUAUAGCUUAUGCAUGCAAGUUGAUUGAUAAUGACAUGAAACAGUUUAUUAUCAGUUCAGAAACUGAUGAAAUUAGAGAAGUAGAAAGCAGAGGUGACCAAGUGGAGAUCGCACGCUUUAUGAGAGAUGCAGUGAAAAGUCAGCUAAAAAAUAUAUUUGUUUAGCAAAGUAGCAUAUUGAAAUCAAGGUUGGGAAUUUAAUUGGGUGGCAGGUUAUACUCUUAGAAGCCCAACUGCUAUAAUUUAUUUAUUUAUUUUUCAGUUGAUGAUUAUUAUUUUUUCUUUCAAAACCAAUUACUGCUCCGUUUGAUAACAUUUUCUGGAAGGACUUCUUGUAUUGAUCACAAAGUUUUGAAAAUUUUAAGAGGGUGUUAGUCAUAAACAAUUUUGCGAUCACUUCCAGUUCUAACAGUGUUGAUUCGAAUGGCAAGAUGUUUGGCCUUUGGGAUGUCAGCACAACGGUCUUCAAUUGUCUUGUAAUAACUAUUAAUUUGCGGCUUCUUCUGAUGUGCAACACGAUUAAAUACUCCUAAUGUGAGUCAUCUUCUUGUUUUAACCACUUACUGAAUUAAA
Camellia sinensis is the source of this 1395-nucleotide non-coding RNA. The record is from RefSeq and is a predicted model, not a curated record. Lineage: Eukaryota; Viridiplantae; Streptophyta; Magnoliopsida; Ericales; Theaceae.